GUAGGUGGCAAGCGUUGUCCGGGAAUUAUUGGGGCGUAAAGCGCGCGCAGGCGGUUCUUUAAGUCUGAUGUGAAAGCCCACGGGCUCAACCGUGGAGGGUCAUUGGAAACUGGAGAACUUGAGUACAGAAGAGGAAAGCGGAAUUCCACGUGUAGCGGUGAAAUGCGUAGAGAUGUGGAGGAACACCAGUGGCGAAGGCGGCUUUCUGGUCUGUAACUGACGCUGAGGCGCGAAAGCGUGGGGAGCAAACAGGAUUAGAUACCCUGGUAGUCCACGCCGUAAACGAUGAGUGCUAAGUGUUAGGGGGUUUCCGCCCCUUAGUGCUGCAGCUAACGCAUUAAGCACUCCGCCUGGGGCGUACGGCCGCAAAGGCUG
RNAcentral lists this ribosomal RNA (375 nucleotides) under uncultured organism. RNAcentral describes it as "partial 16S ribosomal RNA". It matches the Rfam family "Bacterial small subunit ribosomal RNA", at positions 527 to 896 of the family's 1533-position model. The record is from RNAcentral.